Molecule: unclassified non-coding RNA, 76 nt
Filed under: Ferrimonas marina
Lineage: Bacteria; Pseudomonadati; Pseudomonadota; Gammaproteobacteria; Alteromonadales; Ferrimonadaceae
Description: suhB
Source: RNAcentral
CUUUCUCGCCAUUCUGGUGGCGUCAUCGCCAAACACAAAAAAGGCCGCCUUGCGGCGGCCUUUUUUCGUCAGCCUA